UGUUUGCUACUUGUGAAUAUUUCUACUGACUACUGUUGGACCACUCCAGUAAUAAGCCCUACACCUUUUACUAGGUGCUUGUAUGUCUGUGUCAUUAGCAUACUGUGGGCAAAUCUUGCUUGCAUUUGUGCAUGCCAACAUGUCCGGGGGUGGGGGGAGGGCCUGGACCAUAGUGGAUCGUGUGUGUGUAGGGAGGUAAGGCCUGGACCGUAUUGGAUCUCAUGCAAUACUGCGGCAGGAUUAGGAAGGAGGAUAUGGAGAGCCUGUGCAGAAGUUAGAGACCCCCAGUGUACUGCAGAGCACAAUUAUGCUGGGACUUCCAAAAAGCAGUUGAACAGUGGGACGCCUGGCACUAUUCAAAUCAGAGUGAGCAUGGUGGAAAGGACCUUCAGAAAACUUCAGAGCAGACAUGAGACUGCAGAACUGCAAGGUGAACACAUUGGCAUCCUCUCUCCAUAUCUGGUCCCUGAGGCUUGUUUCCCACCAUUCACAGGUAUGUCUGUCUCAGAUUGCACCCAAAAAGAUGCAGUAGUUAUUUGGCAAGAUGAAAUCAAGGCACACAAAGAAAAGGCUCCUGAGAAUCCAUUGAGAGGCUUUCAGGCCCUCAGAAGUUGUACCAACCAGAAUCCACUGUCAACUACCUUGGGCAUGUGCCUGCUCUGA
RNAcentral lists this long non-coding RNA (663 nucleotides) under Gopherus agassizii (Agassiz's desert tortoise). Its description in RNAcentral is "lncRNA (ENSGAGG00000010438.1)". The record is from RNAcentral. Lineage: Eukaryota; Metazoa; Chordata; Testudines; Testudinidae.